GGCUCCAUAGUUCAGUGGUUAGAGCGCUGGUCCUAUAAACCAGGGGUUGCAAGUUCAGAAUCUCACUGGAGCCU
Molecule: transfer RNA, 74 nt
Filed under: Loxodonta africana (African savanna elephant)
Lineage: Eukaryota; Metazoa; Chordata; Mammalia; Proboscidea; Elephantidae
Rfam family: tRNA
About the family: Transfer RNA (tRNA) molecules are approximately 80 nucleotides in length.
Source: Rfam by way of RNAcentral